Long non-coding RNA from Zerene cesonia (dogface butterfly), 484 nucleotides. RefSeq lists it as uncharacterized. The record is from RefSeq and is a predicted model, not a curated record. NCBI's taxonomy places the organism in Eukaryota, Metazoa, Arthropoda, Insecta, Lepidoptera, Pieridae. The transcript has 2 exons.
CCUUGGCAUGCCUGGUAGGGUCUGUCAGACCCAUACCAACGCGCGAAACGUUGUAGUUCAUUUAAAUUUGAAUUUCGAGCCUCACCGUUUUUAGUAGCUGGCCGUUACUAACCGCGGAAUGCCCUCCACCCGCUUCCUCAGUCCGCGGUGAGCUAUCAGCGUAAAAGGACUUGCGUAAAGUGCCUCCGGGUCCCACAGACCCCACCAGGCAUACGGCGUGACUUUAUUUUUUUAAUCAUGAAUAAACAACUAACAGACGAGAACAUAGCAAGUUUAUUAUUCCAAGAGUUGGAUGUUGAAGACUUAGCUGCAUUUGAUUCAAGUGGAGAAGAGUUUGACAAAGAUGAUACGUUUGUCCUUCGAAAAAAGAUCGGAAAACCCAGUACAUUUGUGAGACAUGUAGUUGUCACAUUUGUCUUGUCUACUCGAUUUUUCAAUGCGCAAAGUGUUACCGAACCAAAGCUUUACAAAGUGUAAAUGCAAG